AUGCUCCCCAUCUACCCCAUGUUCUUCUCCUCUUCCUCUCCAGGAUAUCCACUUACUUCCUACUCAUUUCUGCUGCUGGCCUGGAACAGACUGAAACAUCUUUUGGAUCUGGAAUAUCAACAAAACCUUCUCUGCUACCCUGCGCUUUGUGUAUGCCUGCAACUGAUCAUCCUGACCCAAGGGCAGAGGAGGAGAAUCCUAGAACCUGGGGAUGUGUCCUGCCUAUUGCCUACAGACAGGAGGAGCACUGAAUUGAUGUUCAUGAUGGAGAUGCAUAUACCUCUGGAAGGAUGAACCUGGGACCACGCCAGAGGUUCCACCAAGAGCUAAUGAUGGGAAUGGGAUUCAUGCUUCCACAGUACUAGGUCUGGAUGCUGAUGGAUCAUUCCAAAAAAGGGAUUUGAAGAAAACCAGGUCUGAGUUCUGAAUAAAUUUCAGUUCAUUUAGCCAGAAUGCCUAAUAUAGGUGGUUAGGCAGCAGGUAUAUUUUCAUACACUCCUGACCCAGCAUACACCACAUUGAAGACAGUGUUAACAGUGUAAUUCCCUGCCAACAUCAGCCAAGCUAACCUGGGUUGCUGCCACCUUGUCCUCUCUGUGCCUGCCAAUAUAAAGAGCUGGCUUUCUGCCUACCCAACUCCAUUUGCAAGAACCCUUCAGCUCUGACAGAACAAUAUGGGAAGAAAUAUCUAAUCCUUGGCCCAGAAAAAGUCAGGUCAAGUUCUGUAUUUCUGCAGCGCUUUCCACCUUGUUCAUAAAUAGCAGGUCUUGGUGGGUACAGACCUAUAUGGAACACAAAAUCUAUUCCCUUGUCAACAGGUAGUAUAAAAGAGAUAUGUUUAGAUUGAUGUAGCUGUAGCAAACCUUGCAUUAUGCUAUAUGUCUUGCCACACCUGUGCAUGGCUUUUUGACCAGGAGAGCCUUCUUGGUGUCAUCACAGUGGGAUUGUCAUUGCAAUGGCGAUGUCAUGGGAACAAGCAUCAUAAGAGAAGGUAGCAGUAACAUAGUAGGAUUGCUUAUGCUGUCUGAGACCAUGAGCAAGUUAGCAUCUAUGAACUGGUCUUACCUCUUUCUGCACAUACAUAUGGUGCUCACAUCAUAUCAUCUCGUGAAUCCACAAAGUUAUUAAGAUCAUCUGAUGUAGAGAACCUUGUAGAGCCACAGGAGAAAACAAUGCACGGGCGACACAGGUUCCUCAGAUGGGACACAGCUUGCAUGCUAAGACUCAGACACAUAUAUGCUAUCUGAAAUGCCCCACAGUAUCUGAAAAACUGCCAUGUAGCUGUCAGACCUGACACAAGACCUACAGCUAUCCCAUCACAGCAGUUUAGCUCAGCAACUCAAGGGAGCAUACAGCAGAUACUUAUGUUUGAGCCCUAUCUCAAUGUCUAUAUUCAGGGUUCCAUACUGUCCCCAUCACUGUGCUGCCUCAAAACUGAACACUUCUCUUGAUCUUCAACUUCAAAACUGAACAAGCUUGUGCUCUGGAAGUAUAGGUCCCACUGCUGGGGUGUGCAGACUGUACACCAUCUACUUAUAAGAAUGAUUGCAUAUGUCUGCCAAAGACCCACCUUCCUCUUUGCUUUUGCUUUUCUUUAAGCCCUUUUUUGCCUCUGUACGUGGAUCUGCAUGUGCGAAUUUUUCACUGCUGAUGUCACCUUCUUUUCUAAGGACAAAACCAUAUUCAGAGCACUCCUUAGAAGUAUAGUUGCAUUUGUAAUUAACAGAUCACAAAAUGAUGGUUCUUCAUGCCAGGAUUUUCUGAGCUUUUUGCCUGCUUGUAUUACCUGAGCUCCCAUGUCUCAGUCAGACAGGCAAGCAGCAAUGAGAGAAGAAGCAUUCCUCAGUAUUCAGUCUAAUCAGAGACAAGUCCUCAGAAAUUACUCCCUGAACUGACACUCCAAGCUGUGCCCCAUAGUACCACCAGAUCUGCAGUUAGGAAACUCAGUGGCUUGGCUGUUCUGAACAAUUUUUUUUCCUAAGAUAACAUACAGAGAUGGAUUCCAGUUUUAUUCUUCAUUCUUUUACUCUGUCUUCCUGCAAAAGUUCAAAUGUGAACCGAAAACUUAAGGAUUACUUCUUGCCCUGAUAGGGAGCUGCCCUUGUCUCUUAUAAGCCUAUAAUCCUUAUUUUACAUACGUGUCUGUCUUCUUUCACAUUUGUUAUGAUUUUCGUUGUAUCCCUGCCUAAUUUUCAUUUUCAUACAUUUCAUACAACUAGUGCAGGAAUUUCCCAUGUCUUCUCUGUAUGGCAUUAUUUUUUCUUUACUCAUUAUACUGCGUGAUUAAGUUGUAAAGCAAAAUUUUUUAAUCUAUUUCCAUAAAACCUAAUGUUCGGGGCAAGCUCAUUAAAAUUUUGUGGUUUCCCAGAUGAUUCUUUGAGGUCUAAAAGACAAACAAACCCCGUCCUUUUAUCAGUAUAUCACCCAUAUUAGGUAUAUUUAUAAUAUCCCAGGUUUGAAGAUGUGGGGCAGACCAGUUAAAGACCAUGUCUAGAGGGAUUUUGCUUGCAUCUAUGUCACUGAUAUGCUAAGAAGCUUUUUACUGGGACAUGUGUUUGUUGUAAAACUUUGAUUUUAUAUAAACAAAUAUUUUGGAAAGGGCGCCAGGACGUCUUGCAUUUUGACUUGCUGAAAUCAGUAUCUUUCUGGUUAGUGUAGCAGAGUGAGUGCCUAUGUGUGAAAAUGUAUUUAUUACCAUACAUUAACAUAGAGAGAGCUUCUUUCUUCUUGCUUCUUAGCCUCUCAACAAGCCUGUUUUUUGGAAAGAGAAAUGCCAAUUCACAUUGUUUUGGGCUGAAUAGGUAGAAGCCAAG
Molecule: long non-coding RNA, 2813 nt
Filed under: Meleagris gallopavo (turkey)
Lineage: Eukaryota; Metazoa; Chordata; Aves; Galliformes; Phasianidae
Description: lncRNA (ENSMGAG00000019902.1)
Source: RNAcentral